UAAUGCAACGGUAGAACUAUU
RNAcentral lists this microRNA (21 nucleotides) under Anolis carolinensis (green anole). RNAcentral's name for it is "aca-miR-5413-3p". Lineage: Eukaryota; Metazoa; Chordata; Lepidosauria; Squamata; Anolidae. The record is from miRBase by way of RNAcentral.